UACGUAGGUGGCAAGCGUUACUCGGAAUCACUAGGCGUAAAGCGCAGGUAGGCGGUUGGAUAAGUCUAUUGUGAAAGCUCCCGGCUUAACUGGGAGAGGCCAAUGGAAACUAUCCGGCUAGAGUUUGGUAGGGGGUACUGGAAUUCCCGGUGUAGCGGUGAAAUGCGUAGAUAUUGGGAAGAACACCAGUGGCGAAGGCGGUUCUCUGGGACGGUACUGACGCUGAGACGCGAAAGCGUGGGGAGCGAACAGG
RNAcentral lists this ribosomal RNA (253 nucleotides) under uncultured bacterium. Its description in RNAcentral is "partial 16S ribosomal RNA". It matches the Rfam family "Bacterial small subunit ribosomal RNA", at positions 524 to 776 of the family's 1533-position model. The record is from RNAcentral.